ACGCUGGCUUCCCUCUUUACAAAUGCCAGUUCAGCGACACCCCAGCCUUCGAGCUCAGGGACAACGGCGCCCGGGUGAGUAACACGUCAUUAAUCCACCCUUGGCACCAGAAUACCCCGGGGAAACCCGGAUUAAUGCCGGAUGGCCCUACAGCCUCUCGGGACGGUCGGAAGAGAUAGCUUCAGCCUUCGGCCAAAGACGAGCUCGCGGCUGAUUAGCUUGUUGGCGGGGUAACGGCCCACCAAGGCGACGAUCCGUAUCUGGUCUGAGAGGACGAUCAGCCACACUGGGACUGAGACACGGCCCAGACUCCUACGGGAGGCAGCAGUGGG
This 332-nucleotide ribosomal RNA is filed under the name uncultured bacterium. RNAcentral describes it as "bacterial SSU rRNA". It matches the Rfam family "Bacterial small subunit ribosomal RNA", at positions 33 to 358 of the family's 1533-position model. The record is from RNAcentral.